UACGUAGGUGGCAAGCGUUGUCCGGAAUUAUUGGGCGUAAAGGGCGCGUAGGCGGUCCCUUAAGUCAGAUGUGAAAUCCCGAGGCUUAACCUCGGGCGUGCAUUUGAAACUGGGGGACUAGAGUGCAGGAGAGGUAAGUGGAAUUCCUAGUGUAGCGGUGAAAUGCGUAGAUAUUAGGAGGAACACCAGUGGCGAAGGCGACUUACUGGACUGUAACUGACGCUGAGGCGCGAAAGCGUGGGGAGCAAACAGGAUUAGAUACCCUGGUAGUCCACGCUGUAAACGAUGGAUACUAGGUGUGGGAGGUAUCGACCCCUUCCGUGCCGCAGUAAACGCAAUAAGUAUCCCGCCUGGGGAGUACGGCCGCAAGGUUGAA
RNAcentral lists this ribosomal RNA (376 nucleotides) under uncultured bacterium. Its description in RNAcentral is "bacterial SSU rRNA". It matches the Rfam family "Bacterial small subunit ribosomal RNA", at positions 524 to 898 of the family's 1533-position model. The record is from RNAcentral.